Molecule: long non-coding RNA, 4155 nt
Filed under: Marmota monax (woodchuck)
Lineage: Eukaryota; Metazoa; Chordata; Mammalia; Rodentia; Sciuridae
Source: RNAcentral
AUAAAAUGAAAUUAAAAAGGUAAAUUACUUAACAUUUGUUAUUCUUGAAAUAUAAUUUUCCAAUUUGAGUUAGGAAGAGAGAAAAGUGAGAAAAGAAACACAAACAUGUAAGAUACAAAUAUAGAAGUCAAUGGUAAUGACUUCUCCAUUUAUUAGAAAUUUAAAUUAAAUAGUUUUUAUGUAUGAUAAUAAGAAAUAGGGUUGAAGGUUUUACCAAUAUAUUUCAACACACAAAAAUCCAAUUUCAUUUUUUUUUGUUUAUGCUAGGUUAGUCUAAUUUAUAUAAUCACCUAAAUGACACUGGACAAAUAAAACCCAUUCCACUUCAUCCUUGGAAAAAGAAUGGAUCAUUCCUUACCAAUCAGAGCCCAUCACAACAGAUCAACUUUUUGAAAUUCACUAAUUGGAAUUUAGCAAUAAACACUGUAAAAUUUCACAACAUGAUAUACCUCAUAAAAUGUGCCAGUUUGAUGGCCACAGGAAAAAAAUAUAGAAUGGAAGAAAAAUAUCUUAAUAAUAACACCCAUUUAAACAUUUUUUGUCUCUCAAAUAUACACAACUUUUGUAAUUCCUUUGCUGUUGUUUCAGGCACAGCAUGUAGUGAGUUCAGUGCAUUCUUUUGGGAAGCAAAUAGCACAGAUCACUCAGAUUGUCUCUUCAUAAUCAAAAGUUGCAAAAAUGUAUUUUUAAAAGUGUUAAGUUAAAACUCAUGAAUACAUUUGAUGGAAUUCUGCUUCCAGGUUAGAUGGAUUAUCUGGCAGCAAAAAGCAACCAUGAAAAUUGGCUAAAUAUCAGAAAUUACCUCUCUACAGCAACAGAGGUCAGAUGAUAGGAUAAGAAAUGAGUGGCUUAGGAUUUCUGAAAAGAAUGCUUUGGGAUGAGAACUAAGUCCUACAGUCAGUUUUCUUCCAAGGAAAUUUGCUAAGUCAGGAAACAAACAACAGAUGCUUAACAGGGACAGACUAACUUCCAUAGCCUUUAGUAGUCUGUAAGAUUCAAGCUCAGGAUCAGUUUCCCCAUUUAGGUCACUUGUCAAACUCAGCACAGCCCAGGGCAGAAGUCUAAAAACCCAAGUGGAAAAUUCUUAGAAAGCAGGAUGAAAUUUUCUUUACUAUUUGAAGAUUAGAGUUUGGGAUCUGCCAUGGGAAGAGGCAUAGAAAAUAUACCAAUUUUUCAAUUGACAAUUCUGUAGACAAGGUACUUUUUAGGAUAGCAAGGAACCUUGACUAAACUAAGUGUGUUUCACUUUAGCCCAAUUUGACUAGUUAGAGUUCUAUCAGGCCAACAGAGGAAAAAGUGAACCCUCCUGGUUCAAUAUCACUUUGAUCCUGGACAUCUUUUUACAUAAAUAUCGAGAAUUCAGUAAAAAGUUACAAGCCACCUACACACAAAACUGGAUGAUCUAAGUAAAAUCAAGAGAAAAAACACAAAACAAAUGACUUCCAGAUAAUCUAGAUAGUAGAAUUAAUGUUAGAAUAAGCAUGAAUAAUAUAUCAAAAAUAAGGAACAAUAGAGAAAAUAGAUGUAAAGAGAAUUUCACCUGACAACUGAAAUCUUAAAAUGGACAUUCAUUCUUUAGCUGCAAAAUUAUAAUAUUUGAUGUAAAACUGUUGAAAUAGUUUAAUGUCAUAGAUAUAAAAGACUACAGGAUUAGUGGAAGUGAAACAGAUCAAUAUAAAAUAUUCAAAUAGGAACCCAAAAAUAAUGAAAAACAACAUUAUUGAAAAACUCUAACUUACAUAUGAUUGUAAUCCUAGAAGGAUAAGAGGGAGUAGAGUGGUAAUAAGCAGUAUUUGAACAGUUAAUGACCAAGAAUUUUCCAAAAUUGUGUCUUUAAAUCUUCAAGAUACUCAGAGAAACCCAAUCAGGAUAAAAAUUUUUAAAAAGUCCAAAAAUCAAAACCAAAAGUCAAGAUACAAGUCAAAGAGAAAAAAAAUCUCAAAAGCUAUCACCUAAAAUAUCACAUAUUACUUUUAAAGAAGCAUGGGUAAAACUAACCUUCAACAUGUUAUCUUUUAAAGACAAGAAAAUUAUUAAUAGACUAUAAUUCUAUCACCAGCAAACAUUUCCCUCAGCAAUGAAGUUGUCAAAGAAGCAAAAACUGACAGAGUUAAUCACAGUCACACCUGCACUAGUGGAAAUACUUCCAGUGGAAUUCAUUAGGCAGAAAGAAAACAGUCCUAAAAAGAUCACAGAUUUGCAGGAAGAAAUAAAAAGACAGGAAGGGUAAAUAUAAAUGAGUAUUGAUUUAAUGUUGAUUAUACUGGGCACUAUUAGUAGUUUCUUUAAGGAUUUAAAAUAUGCAUUAAUGUUGGGGUCUGUAAACAGGUCAAGAUGGCGCCUGGCAUUUUGCCAGAGGGGGUGGUUUGUGAAGUAACGCCAGCGAGCCAUUAAGUGUGGAGAUUCCUUAUUGGUUGACUGCUGUAUCUAGUUUAUGUUAAUCAAGAUAAGCUGUGUGUAAUGUGUAUAUACCCCUCCGGUCCUACAAUAAAUGGCUCCUACUCCUGCUGUAUCAAUGUACACAAGUUGUUCGUCACCCCCCCCCCCCGGUUAUUUUGCUGCAGCCGGACUGUGGCACAUUAAAUUUAAGUUCAUAACAACAACAACAAUGUGAGAGGUAGAGGCACAGAUUUGGAGAGUUCUAAUGUUUUAAUUAAAAUUAUGGUGAUAUUCAGAUCAAUAAUUUGUAUUAGAUUCUUAUAGAUCAAAGAUCAUGCUGUGAUUUCUUGAAUAGCCUCUUAAAGAAUAACUAAAAAUCUAUUUGAUGGGAAAUUUUUAUAUAACAAAUAUUUGAAUACCAAAAGAAGAACAAAAUUUCUGGGAUAAGUAAAAAAUAAUUAGAUGUUAAUUAUAGAUGGGCAGAUAUCAAAUAUUACAUUAAUAAUACAAUUAAGCUAACAGUAUUGUACACCAGAUUUAAGAAAAACUCAAUAUUGCUAUCAUAUGUAUGUGUAUGUGAUAGAACACAGAAAAUUGAAAGUUUAAAAAUGGAAUAAGGUAUGUACUACAAAUACUAGCCUUUUAGUGUAGCUAUAUUCACAAAAGACCAAGGAGACUUUAAGGAAAGAUACAUUGCUAGGAAGAGAGAUGUUUUAUAAUAAUAUGAAAAUAUAACAGAAAUAUGUGAGAAAUAUUUCCCCAUAAGAAAUAUUUUUACUACAGAGUUAAAAAAAGUCAAAUUGAUGAAGUACAAAUGAAAAGUAGACAAACCACAAACCUCUCAAUUCUGAUAGAAUAAGAAGACAAAACACAUAUGUGCCCCUGUAUAUACACACAUACACACAUACAAGAAUAUUGAAGAUAUCAAUAACACAAAACAUAUUUAAACACAUCAACAUCCAUAGCACACUCAUGCAUACACAAUUUUGUUACACAUAUUUGAAAUAUGAAAAUUUCCCAUAUUCUGGGUUAUAAAACAAGCCUCAUUUUAAAAUAAAAGACAUUGAGAUGACUCAUUAUACUUUUUGACUGCAGCAGAAUAAGGAAAAAAAUGAAAAUAUGACAAAUCCCCAAAUGCUUCAAAAUUAAUUAAUAAAACCCAAAUCAAAUUUGAAAUCACAGCAGAAAUUUCCAAACAUUUUCAAAUAUGCAAAGUUUAAGAACUGACGCAUAUACUCCACUGAACUUCUAUUCUGUCUUCCCCUUAGUGUGGAUUAACUUCCACAUAUUAGAGAAUACAUUUGAACUUUAAUUUUUUUUGGAUUGACCUAUUUCACUUAGCAUGAUAGUCUCCAAUUGAUCCAUUUACUAGCAAAUGUCAUAAAGUCAUUUCUAUGUAUGUCUGAUUAAUACCCUGUUUGUAUAUAUGCCACAUUUUCUUUAUCCAUUCAUCUGUUGGGCACCUAGGUUGGCUCCAUAGCUUAUUGUGAAUUGUGCUGCUGUAAACAUUGAUGUGGCUGUAUUACUGGAGUAAGUUGAUUUUUAAUCUGUCAUAAUCUUCAUAUGUAUGUACAUGAAUAAACCACAGCGAAUCUCACCAUUGGGUACAUGCAACAAGAAAUUAAUUUAAGAAAAAAAAUUAUGGAUAAAUGGCAAAAAGAUCAAUAGAGGGAAGAGGGAAGGGGAAGGAGAGGUACUGGGGUCUUAAUUAGAACAAAAUAUAUUCAGUGCUUGUAUAAUAAUGUCAAAAUGGAUUCUAAUGUCAUGUGUAACUAA